RNAcentral lists this ribosomal RNA (253 nucleotides) under uncultured bacterium. RNAcentral describes it as "partial 16S ribosomal RNA". It matches the Rfam family "Bacterial small subunit ribosomal RNA", at positions 524 to 776 of the family's 1533-position model. The record is from RNAcentral.
UACGGAGGGUGCAAGCGUUGUCCGGAAUCACUGGGCGUAAAGGGCGCGUAGGCGGCUCAUGAAGGCUGUGGUGAAAGUCCGGGGCUCAACCUCGGAUCGGCCGUGGCGACUCGUGGGCUGGAGCACUGUAGAGGCGGGUGGAAUUCCGGGUGUAGCGGUGGAAUGCGCAGAUAUCAGGAGGAACACCGGUGGCGAAGGCGGGUCUCUGGGCCGAUACUGACGCUGAGGAGCGAAAGCGUGGGGAGCGAACAGG